AAGCUGUUCCUGAAGUUCCUCUGCCUCUUUGAAAUCCUGUCUGUAUUUUUGGUAGUUCUUGAUCCACAUACUGAUGGAGCCUAGCUUGUAGGAUUUUAAGCAUAGCUUUACUAGCAUGUGAAAUGAGUGCAAUGGUGUGAUAGUUUGAACAUUCUUUCGCAUUGCCUUUCUUUGGAAUUGGAAUGUAAACUGACCUUUUCCAAUCCUGUGGCCACUAUUGUGUUUUCCAAAUUUGCUGGCAAAUUAUAGUUUGUUGAAUAAAACACACUAAAUCAUAUAUUCUCCAAUUUCACUGAAUUUCUUCAAAUGUAUAAGAAUAUAGCAGAAUCAAACAAAUGUAAACUUUCAAGAAGAAAUGGCAUAAACAACUUUGGAUCAUCUACUUAAGUGAGGGAAUGUUUUCCGAAUUUGACACAAAAUCAGGUAAGAUAGCUAAUAUCCUAGAAAAGAGAAAUAAAAUAUAACCUAAACAGCUUACAGAAAUUGGUUGAAAGUAACAAAGUAACAUUUAACAAAUGAAAAGUUCCUCACCUAGAAAACAAAACAACAAAUGCCAACUAAAGAGAACCAUUACCUGACUGAGUAACUGUAUCUGUAAAAUAAAAUUUCUUUUGGUCUGCCUCCAACUUCAAGUAAUUUGUCUAAUACUCAGCAGAGGAUAAACUAGAACAGAUUCAGAGGUACAUUUUAUGAAAAGAAAUUGAUCUUGUAAUGUUU
Notechis scutatus (mainland tiger snake) is the source of this 717-nucleotide non-coding RNA. The record is from RefSeq and is a predicted model, not a curated record. Lineage: Eukaryota; Metazoa; Chordata; Lepidosauria; Squamata; Elapidae.